UGUUACGUAAAUACAAUUUCAUGUCACAUGGCCAUACGUACGCCCGGUGUUUCGGGAAACCCAGCUGCAGGAGCGUUUGCAACGGUGUCAGAUGCUGUUUCGAAAUUUUCGUAGGAGUCGGAUUUUUCCGCGGCGGCAGCGUCGCCAUGACGGUACAUAACUGCGUUUACCGACGUUUAUUCCCCAGGGUGGCCAAUAGCCGCGCAACUAUCAUAGGACCAGAUACGAAUCGCAGACUGUGGAAAAUUUUUACAAAAUUAUAGCUGACUACAUCGCGACCGGAUCUCACCACGAAGAGUCAAUCAUCGGCAAAAAGCACAAAAACGAGAGGCUCACACAACAACUACUAUACUACUAUACUUUCGUCGUCGAGAAACUCCCGUGUCAUUCCCGAUCCUUGCUCAGAUCGGACGGCAGGUCACCGCAGGUGGACAACGCCGUCGUUGUCGCCGUCGUCGUUGUCGUCGUGGGCGACCUGGAGGUCAUUCUGGAGGUCACAGCGGCAAAGAGAGACAGAAGAGAGAAAGAGAGAGGAAGAGACAGAGAAACCUACCUCCGUCUUGAGAUAUUUGCACCGGUUGCCCGUUUUGUCCUAUGCCGAGCAAGACCCCUGGACUGGGCGAAUAAAUGACACUCUGAGGCAUCUGGUACAUGAUCCCUGCAGAGAACGAAGGCACAUUUCCUGGGAAAUCAAAGAGGAAUUGAGCGUGUGUGUGAGAGAAAGAAAAAGAACAGAUUGAUGAUGGAGGGUGAAAUUUAUCGCGAGGCAAAAAUCAUCAAAUUCAAGAAAUAUAUGUUUUUCAUCGCGAGAUAAAUGCUUCUCCAAAGGACAAUUAGUGCGUCGAAUAGAACCUAAUGAAUUUAUCACGAGGAAGAAGUAAUCAAAAUUCAAGAAAGCGCGAGAUAAAUGCUUCCCCAGAGGACAAUUAGUGCGUCGAAUAGAACCUAAUGGGGAAUAAAGGAAUGUAAGAUGUUGGUUACAGAUGUUAUAUGCCAAGAAAAACUUAGGAAUGACGGUCGAGCCACUCGAGACUUCGAUCCGGACCACCCAGGUGCGAAUCUGCGCUCUGAUUCACCGAAUCUUCGCGUUUACAAAUUAUAAAUAAAUUACUGCAUAUACAUAUUUCUUGGAAAAAUACGGGUAGCCACGCAUGACGAUACUCACCCGAGUGAUUAUUCUUGAGAGGAUCCUUGGAGUCGCCGUCGCUGGUAUCUCCGUCGCUCUCAUUGGCGCAAAUGUCAGACCUGGGUGAUCCUUCUUCCUCCUGAAAUCAAAAAGAGCAUCCGGUCUGAUUUCAGGGUCACAUCUUUCUUAUACGCAGCGACAAAUCGAAGGAACGAGCAAAGAAACGAGGAGAGAGAAGAGCGUACUUAUCAAACGUACGUACUUAUGUACGUAUCUACCUACCUACCUACCUACCAACCUACCUACCUACCUACCUACCUACCUAGCGGACAGAGAGAGAUGCGCGAGCUCUUCUCGGCGCUCCUUAUAUGGCCACAUCUCUCUCGCAGACUCCACUCGCGGAGGAGAAGAGAUUCUCGCGACCCUCGGGCGGAAAAUUUUCUUCCCUUAGCAGAAAUCCGCGGCUUUCGCAGUAAUAUUCGUACGGCGUAUCCGAGAUACCUUCACUUAAUUUUUCAUCAGAAAUUAACUGCUAUAGAAGGAUAGCAUCUCCUUGCCUUACAAAAAUUGUGAAUCUUUUUAUAUUAUGUAUUGUGUAUUUAUAUUAAUUUCAUAUUAUAUUUUUCUUUCCGACAUUUUCAGUAACACGUACAUAAAGCUAUACAUACAUAAAGAGAGAUAGAAAGAAAGAGAGAGUUCGGAAAAGACGAGUUUCCUCAAUUAGGUAUAUUCCAUUGUUAAUGCAGUUUUCUCGAUUUAAACGGGGGCGCACGUUUCCCACCUCGCAAUUUAUGCCAAUUACCGUUUGAUUCGACAAAACGGUCGAGGAUAUACACACGCACGUGAGAAUUAUUAUCUGCGAAAGAGAGAGAGAGGUCUUGGAGAACGCGCGGUACCAAUUGGAAAGCUCGAAAAGCCGGAGCACGUUCGCUUCCGCUGACUCCCUUUCCUCCCUGUACGUGUAUACGUGUAGAGAAGGCGCGACAAAAAGCAACAUUCCUGACUCUUAAGUCGGACUCUAUAUAAGUGUCUGCCAUCGCGAACAUUGCCUGUAUAUGGCGACAACCGGGCUUUGACAAAGGUGACCGUAUAUGGAACUCCGCUUCCAUCUUUCCUGCGUGCGUGCGUGCGUACUCCUUUUCUCUCUUGUAUACACGUGAAGGUUUCUCCUCUCUCUCUCUCUCUCUCUCUUAUUUCUACCCCCUCUCGUCGCGAGAAACGAUACACCUGGAUGCGCGCCUUCUUCGUCUGCAACCCCGAUAAACGUCUCCGCAGCUCUGUUCUCGUGCCGUUAAAUCAUAAAUCGUGCCUCGACCCCGAACCGGCGAAAGCUCCACGCGUGCUUCCGGUCACCGGGGUUACGCCAGUGCUCGUUGGAAUUAAAAUUUUCCCUCGGAAAAUUAUCAUAAAUAUUCAUCGAUCUUCUUAACGAGCCAGGAUUUAAAUUUUCUUAUUAAAAUACUUGUCAAAUUUUUUUCUCUCCUUGGAGAACGAUUUCAGGCCAAAUAAGGGGCGUUUGAUGAAGGAAAAUAAAGAAAUUUUUUUAUAAAGUAUGUUUCGUUCUUAUAUAGGUAUAUACUCUGUCUUGAACUGCGUUUCUUACCCUUGGGUUUCUACUUCCGUUUUUUUGCUGGUUCACGCUUUCUUUAACAAAUGCGUCAGGUGUUCGACUUAAGUUUACUCUUGAAAAUCGUAGAAACAUCAAGAGAUGAGUAAUUUAAUUUUUCCCUACCCAGGGUGUCUACUCGAGUUUUAUAAAAAAAUUCCCAGACUUUUUUCAAAAUUUCAUUGUCAGAUAAAAAUUAGAGGGUUUUUAAUUCUUGCGUAUUUUUAUUGCGUUUUUUAAUCAUACGUUUACGAAAAAUAAAAAGCAACUUAAGUUUCAAAAAAUGAUGAAACGUCAGAUUUGA
Molecule: long non-coding RNA, 3036 nt
Organism: Nylanderia fulva
Lineage: Eukaryota; Metazoa; Arthropoda; Insecta; Hymenoptera; Formicidae
Source: RefSeq, a predicted model, not a curated record